This 414-nucleotide ribosomal RNA is filed under the name uncultured microorganism. RNAcentral describes it as "bacterial SSU rRNA". It matches the Rfam family "Archaeal small subunit ribosomal RNA", at positions 330 to 745 of the family's 1478-position model. The record is from RNAcentral.
GUGCAGCAGUCGCGAAACUUCACAAUGUGCGAAAGCACGAUGAGGGAAUCCCAAGUGCUUGCACGUAAGUGUAAGCUGUUUCUCUGUCUAAAACGCAGAGAGAGUAAGGGCUGGGUAAGACGGGUGCCAGCCGCCGCGGUAAUACCUGCAGCUCGAGUGGUGACCGUUAUUAUUGGGCCUAAAACGUCCGUAGCCGGUUUAAUAAAUGCCUGGGUAAAUCGGACCGCUUAACGGUUCGAAUUCCGGGUAGACUGUUAAACUUGAGACCGGGAGAAGUUAGAGGUACUCCUGGGGUAGAGGUGAAAUUCUGUAAUCCUAGGGGGACCACCAGUGGCGAAGGCGUCUAACUAGAACGGGUCUGACGGUGAGGGACGAAGCCCUGGGGCGCAAACGGGGAUUAGAUACCCCUGUAGU